This is a non-coding RNA of Betaproteobacteria bacterium, 78 nucleotides long. The record is from Rfam. Lineage: Bacteria; Pseudomonadati; Pseudomonadota; Betaproteobacteria.
CUGAGGGGGAAGUGAUUCCCUCUGACCGCGAGAAAGAGGUCUGCAAAGGGCAUAGUAGGCGGGAAACCGCUGAAGGCC